Molecule: long non-coding RNA, 1229 nt
Filed under: Triticum aestivum (bread wheat)
Lineage: Eukaryota; Viridiplantae; Streptophyta; Magnoliopsida; Poales; Poaceae
Description: long non-coding RNA (TAES_LNC015467)
Source: RNAcentral
GGGUAAUUAUUAUGCGUGGAAUAAAGGCCUCGAAAGAAUUUUACCGAGGGUCUGUGAGUGGGCACAGAUCACCUCGGAGCGCUUCAGUAAGGUGAUCACUGUGUUAGGUGCGCCCCUUCACAGUGAGUAAACUAUCCUUUCCCAUAUAUGUACUACGUGCUAUUGAAUAAUCUUUAGUAGGCAGUCUUGAGCAUUUCAGUGUAACUGGGAGAAGUUUAUUCGUUCAUGUAAUGCUUCUGUAGUGACUGUUUGGUUACUAUUUGUGUGUCCCUCUUAUCUUAGGGAGAAAAAAGAACAAUUUGUCUAUGUGUGUCCAAUGCAUGUAUUCCUUUCCGACCUGUAAGAUGGUUAUUUGUCCUGGUAUGCUAUCUUUGGAGCUGCUGAAAGAACCCGAGUCGUGAAAAUUCAAACAAACUUGCAUCUCUAUAUGUACAUUUGCCAACUCUUGAAAGAAGUGAAGCUGUAAUGGGAGCUCACUGGUAACAAAACUUACACCACAAAAUUUAUGUAUCGUUGGCUUUCCUAUCUGGGAGUCCAAACCCCAUAUUUGGUCAAAUCUGGAAGCUAAAAAUUCCUUUGAAGAUUUUGGUUUUAACAUGAUAGGUUGUCCAUGAUAGAAUAGAAUCCCUACAAAAGAACAAGUACUUCAUAGGCAUGGGCCUACUGAUAGCAAGUGUCCCCUGUGCAGGGAAACCGAAACAACUGAUCAUGUUUUCUUUUGUUUUCUCAUUGCUGUCUUUGUCUGCUCCUUCUGUUCGGGAGGUUUUGGGUUGGAAUUGGCACCCUCCAUCAGUCCAAGACAUGAUUACAUGGCUGAAAUCUGAGCCGACUGGGAGCAUUGAUUAUCUUUGCAUUGGUAUGUACAGCGGUUCGGUGGGCUCUUUGGAACAUCCAACUGACUGACGUUAUCUCUCACACAUUACUUUUCCUGCAGCAAUGGAGGCUUCUUUGGCCCAGCAAGACGCAGGAUCUCUUCACCACCAUCAUUAGCGAGUGCCGUCAUCGCCUUCUGAUUAUUAGGAGUAGAUCUUAAUUACUGGGAUGCUAUGCCGCUCAGAUUCUGUAAUCCCCUGAUGUUUUUAACCUCACUGUAUCCUGAUCCUGGAGUGAGUUAGUAUGUGUCUCUGUUAGGAAGUCUUGCACUCCGUUCUCUUCACUGUGAUUAUUCCAAUGUAGUAACUGGUACCCUCCCCCACAAAGUAAACUUUGUUACCUUUUGCUCCAAUGAA